RNAcentral lists this non-coding RNA (534 nucleotides) under unclassified sequences. RNAcentral's name for it is "ROOL RNA". It matches the Rfam family "ROOL RNA". Rfam says of the family: Firmicutes, Fusobacteria (1 example), Tenericutes (1 example). Environment (Cow rumen (57)) The record is from Rfam by way of RNAcentral.
AUAUAUACUAAUGCUGCAUUGGAACCCAGUGGAGUCAUCUUGCUGAUGGCUGGGGCCCAACCAAAUAAGGUGAUUAUAUGGGAUACUGUAUGAAAGCCAAGACCAUGUGAUUGGUUUACGGGAUUAAAAGACCGCUUUGGUUAGGGGCGCAAUCCGCUCUUCGAUGUAAACGACUAUCCGACUAGGCACGACAAGAGGCUCUGUAGAAAUACAUCCCACGUGAUGAUGUUAGCGUGAGAAACUAGCAUCUGCGUUCUCAAAAGAAGUGUUCGGCUUGAUGAGUGGUAACACUCUAUAACUAGUUUGAUAGGUGCGAUUAGGCGAACGCCGAAAAAAAGAAAUCCUUAACCCGUUUUUUCGCUGAAGCUCGCUGAAAGUUGGAAGGUAAUUUAGUCCUUCCCGUUGGACGGUAGAAAUACCCAUUCCAGAAGUUAAGGGGUCGCUCCCUUUGGCUCAGCCUGGCGUGAACGUGCGUGAAUAACAAAUUAGAGUAAGAAUUGUAUGAUGAAGGUCGCCAAUGCCUUUUUUAUUAUU